CGUACGUUCGUCGCGUAUUUUUUCCGUCGGCUCAAUCCAGGCCAUUUAGGCCCGUUUCCGCUUUCAAAUUCUGCCUCCGUACGCGUCUCUAUGAUUCGCCUGCAGCUCUUCACCGUUCAACACUCCUGAUAAUCCAAGGUCCUUUGUUCGACUCGGUGUUCCCUUUCUCUCAGUCGGCUUUUAUUCAGUUUCCGUUGGAAAAUUUACCCGGAACACCGACAACAUUAACCAUAUAUUUCGGUAUAAUUAUUCGCGUUUUAUGCUUUCGGAAACGAAUCUC
Cinara cedri is the source of this 280-nucleotide non-coding RNA. Lineage: Eukaryota; Metazoa; Arthropoda; Insecta; Hemiptera; Aphididae. The record is from the annotation of a GenBank genome assembly.